AAACAACAAACAAAAGCCUGAAAAAGAAAAGUCUUGAUCCUUCAUCUCCAACAGGCUUCAUCGUCGAUCUCCGAUGAGACUCUGAGCAAGAGGAGUUCCUUCAUGGCUCUCCUUUUUUCACCUUCACAACUAAAACCAAAUUCAACCCAAGUUUGGGUUGCAAUCACUUAGACAUCAAAAACUUUCACUAGUGUCAUGAUUCAAGAUCAUUGAAGACUUCUUCAACUUGAGUGAUGUAGAUUUCAGCCGGAUUCAAAGAAUUUCAGGCGGUGUACUCAAAUAUUCAUUGAGGAAGGCAAUCUUGAUGUUGUGAACCUUAUUUACUUCCUACAGUUGUAAGAAACGGGUCCUUAUGUUGAGUACCUAAAGCUCAAACUUCAUGUAACUUGUAUGUCUUAUUUUUGACUUUCCUUAGUCGCAAAUAAGGAACAUUUUCUUUCUCCAUUUAUACAAUUUCUUUGGCUUUUUGUGGAAUCUCCUGAAUGCUAUGAAAUUGUUGUAUAUUAGUACCUGCAAAUGAACAGCAUAUUUAGAGGAAAAAAUCUGGAAGUAUGUUUCCUUCUCUAAGUGUGUGAACCACCUCCACCUCAUAAUGUUGCAUUUGUUGUUUAAUAUAUCUCACAUCCGAUGCAAUCAACCAUGGAACCUCUCAAAUUUCAUUUAUAACUUUUUGAGCUAUUAGAGAGUCAGUUUCUAUGAUUAGUGGAGCUCAACUAUUCUGAAUGCAUUAGCCAAGCCCUACCCUGAUGGCCUUUACUUCAGUCUCAAUAAUAGAACAACCCUCAAGUACUCUAGAUUCAACAUAUAUAAAAUCUCCUUCUUUAUUUCUAACACACAAGGCCAAUUAAUCAAAUUCUAACUAACCUUGAUAUAACCCAUCAGUAUUGCAUUUGAAAUUACCCAUUGGAGGAUGUAUCCAUCUCACAAUCUUGUAACUUAUCAAAGGUGAGUAUCUCUAAGAAUUUAAUAAUGAAUGUCUAUGUUUUGGGAUUUCACUGGGUUGUUGUUGUUGUUGUAUGUUUUAGGAGUUUCCUUCAACCAUGGGUAUCUAAACUUAGUAAACAAAUAGAUAUUCCUAUGAAUUUCCAUAAUCAUUGAAUGCUUAGUCAUAUUUUCCCCAUGUUUAAUCACAUUCCUCCUUUUUCAAAUUUGCCAAAUUAUAAAAGCAAAAAUUACUUUAAAGAUUGGCUUUAACUUAGCAGCACUCUCAACCUUCCACUAAUUUUCUAGGACUUGUCUAAGCUGCAACACUGGAAAUUGUAACACAGCCGCUGUUAUAAAAAGAUUCCAAACAUACUUAGCAUCAGAGUAGUUUACAAAUAGUUGUGAGAAGGUUUCUUACUCAUUACCACUACAACACCAACAUUCUACAAACAUUGCUAUCCUCCUUUUUAUUAAAACCCCUCCUAUAAGACUUCGACCAAAUCACAACCUCCACAUGAGAAAGGAUACCUUAAAAGUAGUCCUUUCUCCCAAAUUAUAGAGAUAUUCUCUAUAGGGAGUAGUCUGAACCUGCAUAACCCUCGAGUUGUGCCUACUUUGAAUUUGUCAUCACCACUAGGCAUCCACCAAGCCUUAUCUCUACCAUCAGCAAUAGAGAUAUCACCUAGAGCAGAAAAAAUAUGAGAGCAAAUCUCAUCACUGAAAAUUACAGAUAAUACCUCAGUAAUCCAACCCUCUUCAUUGAACAAUUUAUUUAUAGAUUUCACUAGGUUUUGAUCAUGAUAAAUAGGAACAAGAUAGUGUAAAGCCCCCAUCUGUGUCCAACUAUCAAACUAGACACUAGCAUGACCCUUUUUAGGCUCCCACCAUAUUUCUCGAUAAAAAAACUCUAGUCAAUACCAUUGCUUUCAACAAUUGAGAACCGCCCUUUCAUUCUGCUACUUGUGGUCUAUGCCUCUUGCAAUACUUAUUCCAUAUAAAAUUAGACCAAAGAGUAUUAGUAGUUUUGAAAUUCCACCAUAAUUUUAUAAACAAAGCUUUUGAAACAUCAAAUAAAGAUCUAAACCACAAACCACCUUCUUUCUUAGGAAGACAGAUGUCCUCCCAAGCAAACCAGUGAGUAGAUCUACCUUCCUCUUUGAAAUUUUAUAGGAAUUUCACAAAAAAUCUAUGAAUGUCAUAAAUCACACACUUUGAAGGGUUAAUAGAGGAUAAAAAAUAAACAGGAUACUCUGUAAAAUAAGAUUAAUCAAUAUUGCUUUGCCCCUAAAAGAUUAAAGCUUUCCUUUCUAAAGCUGCAACUUGUUCUGAAUUUUCUUGAUCAGUUCUGAGAAAUGAAUUUUUUUCAUCUUAGAAUAGCCAAUAGGAAAACCCAAAUAAAUCAAAGGAAAAUUUCCUUUUGAAAAGCUUGUAACUUCUUCAACUAAUUGUACAGAGGUUUGAUCUACUUUGCUAAAUAGAUAAAAGAAACUCUUUUCCUUGUGAUGAGUUGUCUUGAUUGUUGUUCGUAGAUACUUAGAAUUUUCAUAAUAAGCUGUAAAGAUUUUUUAUUUGAUGCUGAAAAAAUGAUUGUAUCAUCUACAUAGGCCAGAUGAUUUAGCUGUUCACUCGAUUUAGGAAAUCCAUAUCCCCUAAAUUCAUGGUUGAAGAAUAAUUGAUUCAAGGCUUUAGAAAGAACUUCAAGACAUAAUAAACAAAGCUAGUGAUAGAGGAUCCCCUUGACUCACCCCUUUUAUAGAAUGAAAAAAAAUCAUGAGCUUGACCAUUGAUAAGAAUAGAAUAUCAAUUGUUAGCAAUAAUUCUCUAUAUCAUAUCAACCAUUGUAGAACCAAAAUCCAUUUUCUCCAGAACUUUCAUUAAGAACCUCCAGUCUACUCUAUUAUAAGCUUUAGCCAUGUCAAGCUUGAUAACCACAUUAUCAGGAUUGCCUCUUUUUCUUAUGUCUGAAAUAAUCUCUUGAUCCAGCAAUACAUUCUUUGUAAUGUUCCUACCUUUAACAAAAUCAGUCUGAUUUUUAGAAAUCAAUCUAGGUAGAAAACCUUUCAAUCUAUCAUGAAUCAAUCUAGAAAUAACCUUGUUAACUCAAUUACUCAAACUAAUUGGCCUAAGGCCUGAAAAGGAUUGAAUAAUAUCAUUUUAGGCAAUAGAAUCAGAUUAGUGUGAGUUAUGGACUUAGGUAAAGUAACACCCUAAAAAAUAGUGGAUCACUUUAAUAAUAUCAGGACCUACAAUCUCCUAAUAACUUUGAUAGAAACAACCAGAGAAACCAUCAGAACCAGAAGAUCUAUCUGCAUUUAAUUUGAAAAUCACAUUUCUUAUCCCUCCCUCCUCAGGAAUUGCAGUCAGCUUUUCAUUAUCUUCUUGGGAUACCUGAGGCUGAAUAUACUGCAAUAAAUACAGUUUUUCAUUAGUAGCUCCACUCGUAAAUUAGUUUUUGAAAAAAUUAAACGCCUCUUCUGUAAUUUCAGCCUUUGAUUCUGCCCAGGUCCCAUCAGCCUUCACAAUUCUCUUCAAAGCAAGCAUUUUUGUUCUUUCUCUGACUAAGAAGUGAAAAAACUUAGUGUUCCUGUCAUCUUCCUAAAAUCACUAAACACUGACUUUUUGUCUCCAAAACUCUUUUUCAUAGCGCAAAUAUAAUUUAAGCUCUGCAUGAGCCUGUUAAAGAAUAGCUCUGUUAGCAGGAGAAGGAUUCUUGAAAUAAAUCUUCCUUAAUCUUUACAAUCUCUUUUCUGAUAUCCAGCUACUUGAAAAUAUCUCCAAACUUACCUUUUCUCCACCUGGUCAAAGCCUUCUUAGUCCUCUUCUGCUUCUAUUUCAGUUGAAUAAAGAUAUCCCCAUAAUUGUCUGCUACCCAAUUUUGUUAAACGUCUUUGAAAUCUUCCCUUUCAUUCCAAAAUUUAUGAAACUUGAAAGGUUUAACCAUAGACACCUAGUUAAACUCACAAGAAAUCAGUAGAGAGGCAUGACCUGAAUCAGUUCUAGCCAAGUAUUGUAAAUUAACAUUACCAAACAAAUCUAGCAAUAAUUGAUUAACAACCCCAUAUUGUCUUUUGAAGAUACAAUCCCCAUCAAUCCAACCAUUCCACCAUGUGAAAGGAUUUUAUGAAAAAUUAACAUCAUAUAAUUCACAAGAAUUGAUACAAUAAGAAAAAUCUUCAAACUCUUGUGGAUAUAUUGGCAAUCCUCCAAUUUUUUUCUCAUCUCCUAAGAUCACAUUGAAAUCUCCUCUUACCAUCCAAGGUAAUGAGAAAUUAAUACUCAAGGAAUAUAAAUAUUCCCAGAAAUUCAAUCUCUCAUUAGCUGAACAUUUAGCAUACACAAUAGUAACUACAAUUUGAGAUCUUUCCUCUAAAGUGAGUUGUAAAGUCAAUUAUUGAUCACUAUCAGAUAAAAUCCCUACUUGAAUAUGUUGUCUCACAAAUAUCCAAAUCUAACCAUUAACAUUAUAGUUCACAUGUGGUAUCCCUAAUCUUCUUUUGUACCUUUGAAUCAGCCUAGGGUCUUAAAAUAUUUUCAUUAAAGCAAUUAGUAAAAACUUAUGAUGUCUAUGAAGUAUUUGUACUUAAUGAAAUUGUUGUGUGUUAACAGACCUAAUAUUUUAGAAUAAAGUUUUGUGACUCAUUUAAUACUUGAUUUGGCCACCCUAUUUGGUUGUAUCCUUAUAGGCAAUGAAUUGCUACCGUUUUCUUUACUUUUGCCUUUCUUCACUUUUGAUAACAUCUGAGGAGAUAAACUAGCCUCUUUAAUCAUAAUCUGCAUGUGUUAUCAUUUUUUCCUUCAUCUUUCUCUUCUGCAAUGGUGCUUUCUGAUACUGAUGUUUGUGUUGUAUUGUCUUUAUCUCCAAUAAACUGGUGGGGAUAUUGAUGGGAGACCAAGGCAUGCAAAGUUUUCAUUGGCUCAGACUUUUCAGCACCAACAGGAGUUAUUGCCUUUUCACCAUCUACUUGCUCAUACUCUAGGGCAUUGAGAUAUUUAAGAAUGGGGAAAGAACUAUCAAAUGAUAAAGGCAAUGCCAGACCAAGCACUAGAAGAAGGCUGACCGGCAGCCAUAUUGGCCAUUCUGGUGGAAAUCAGUUGGAAGAAUUAGGGCUGGUGUGGUGGUGAUGGCUCAUGUGAGUGUUUUUCAUUUGAACUUUGAUACUUAGAGCCCGUUUGGAUUGGCUUAUAAGCUGUUUUCAGCUUUUUUGAGUGUUUGACUGGCUAACUUAAAGUCAUUUUGUGCGUAUAAUAAGCCCCAAUAAAUAAUUGAGUUUGUUUGGAUGAACUUAUUUUAAGUAGCUUAUAAGUCAAAAAAUAAGUUGGGCUACACCUACUUUUUUUUAACUUAGAAGUAGUUUUUAACUUAUAAGUUACUUAAAAUAAGUCCAUCCAAACAGGCUCUUAAUAGGCUAGUCUUUUAGAUUUUAAAAUAGGUCAAUCCACAUUUACGUUUUCUUUAGAACACUUCUGUUAAAAAACAAAUAUGUUUAUGACA
Long non-coding RNA from Solanum dulcamara, 5416 nucleotides. RefSeq lists it as uncharacterized. The transcript is spliced from 3 exons. NCBI's taxonomy places the organism in Eukaryota, Viridiplantae, Streptophyta, Magnoliopsida, Solanales, Solanaceae. The record is from RefSeq and is a predicted model, not a curated record.